Daphnia pulicaria is the source of this 300-nucleotide long non-coding RNA. RefSeq lists it as uncharacterized. Lineage: Eukaryota; Metazoa; Arthropoda; Branchiopoda; Diplostraca; Daphniidae. The record is from RefSeq and is a predicted model, not a curated record. The transcript is spliced from 3 exons.
GUGAGAUUUCUUGUGAAUGGAAAAUAGCAUGAUCCAGGCUGUUUUUCAAUAACAAAGAAAGAGAAUUAUGACUGAAACAAAUGCAAAAUUUCCAACUGGAAUUCUCUUCAUAUUUAUGGUAAUUUUGGAAAAUAGUCUUUCCAGUGAAUAACACCUUAAAAGAAGGAACUGUGGCUGUGAUAAUGUAGCAGUAUUGCGUGAAUCUGUUGCCGCCAUUCCAUAGACUGACCCAUUGGGAUGGUGAAACUGACGAGUAAACGCUGAAAUUCAAGAAAAUUAUGUUGCUGUAGAUAAUUAAAU